AACGCAAAUUGCGCUCUCGGGAUAGGCCUGGGAGCACGCCUCUUUGAGUAUCGAUUCCAACACAACUCGCAAGCGUGCUUGUAAUGAGCAAGCCUGCGGAAACUGAGCCUUCUCCGCUGCUCGUUCAGCGAAGAUGCUUUAAAUGCCGCGAGUGACAUGGGUUGUCAGCAAAUAGCCAACUCUGUCUCUGGUGACGAGGAUAACUUCACAUUCAGUUGUGAACCCUUCCAUCGUGACUGGAGGCAAAGAGCGAGCAGUUCGCUGUGACCAAUGUGUUACGGACCUUCUCUAGAUCGGUGCCUUUGCAGCACUUGGUUGUGAGAAAACUUACUUUGAACUAGAUCUCAAAUGAAGCGAGAAAAACCCGCUGAACUUAA
RNAcentral lists this unclassified non-coding RNA (377 nucleotides) under uncultured Rhizaria. RNAcentral describes it as "sequence contains 5.8S rRNA gene, ITS2, 28S rRNA gene". The record is from RNAcentral.